GACGAACGCUGGCGGCGUGCUUAACACAUGCAAGUCGAACGGAAAGGCCCUGCUUUUGUUGGGCUCUCGAGUGGCGAACGGGUGAGUAACACGUGAGUAACCUGUCCCUGACUUUGGGGUAACUUUAGGGAACUCGGGCUAUUACACCAGAUGAGAUCCUGCUCCAUGGUGUGGGUUGGUAAAUUUCGGCGGUUGGGGAUGGACUCGCUGCUUAUCAGCUUGUUUGUGGGGUAGUGGCUUACCAAGGGUUUGACGGGUAGGCGGCCUGCGAGGGUGACCGGCGACCAUGGGACUGAGAUAGGCAGCAGAAUGCUACGUGAGGCAGCAGUGGGGAAUAUUGCGCAGUGGGCGGAAGUGAGAUGCAGCGACGCCGCGUGCGGGAUACCGGGUUACGAGUUGUAAACCGCUUUCGCCUGAGACGAACAGUGAGUGACGGUAAUGGGUAAAAAAGCCCCGGCUAACUACGUG
This 468-nucleotide ribosomal RNA is filed under the name uncultured bacterium. RNAcentral's name for it is "partial 16S ribosomal RNA". It matches the Rfam family "Bacterial small subunit ribosomal RNA", at positions 28 to 507 of the family's 1533-position model. The record is from RNAcentral.